Small nuclear RNA from Choloepus hoffmanni (Hoffmann's two-fingered sloth), 104 nucleotides. The record is from Ensembl. NCBI's taxonomy places the organism in Eukaryota, Metazoa, Chordata, Mammalia, Pilosa, Megalonychidae.
GUGCUCACUUCAGCAGCACAUAUACUAAAAUUGGAAUGAUACAGAGAUUAGUAUGGCCCCUGAGCAAGGAUGAUAUGCAAAUUUGUGAAGUGACCCAUAUUUUU